GUCUACAGCCAUGCCACCCUGAGCAAGCCCAAUCCCACCUGAUCUCAGAAGCUAAGGAGGGUCGGGCCUGGUUAAUACUUGGAUGGGAGACCACAUAGGAAGACCAGGUGCUGUAGGCG
RNAcentral lists this ribosomal RNA (119 nucleotides) under Pteropus alecto (black flying fox). Lineage: Eukaryota; Metazoa; Chordata; Mammalia; Chiroptera; Pteropodidae. The record is from RNAcentral.